This 344-nucleotide ribosomal RNA is filed under the name Phycisphaerales bacterium. Its description in RNAcentral is "partial 23S ribosomal RNA". It matches the Rfam family "Bacterial large subunit ribosomal RNA", at positions 2580 to 2925 of the family's 2925-position model. Lineage: Bacteria; Pseudomonadati; Planctomycetota; Phycisphaerae; Phycisphaerales. The record is from RNAcentral.
UUCGCCCAUUAAAGCGGUACGCGAGCUGGGUUCAGACCGGCGUGAGCCAGGUCGGUCCCUAUCUGUUGUGGGCGUCCCAAACUUGAGAGGAGUCAACCUUAGUACGAGAGGACUGGGUUGGACCGACCCCUGGUGAGCCUGUUGGACUGCUAAGUCCACAGCAGGGUAGCUACGUCGGGCAGGGAUAACCGCUGAAAGCAUCUAAGCGGGAAGCCCCCCUCGAGAUGAGGUUUGGUUGUACUUUGUACGAAAGACCCCCGGAAGACCACCGGGUUGAUAGGCCGCAAGUGUAAGAGCCGAAAUGCUUUGAGCUAAGCGGUACUAACGGUCAAAGACUUGAUCAC